Molecule: non-coding RNA, 72 nt
Organism: Heterocephalus glaber (naked mole-rat)
Lineage: Eukaryota; Metazoa; Chordata; Mammalia; Rodentia; Bathyergidae
Source: Rfam
GGCUGGGAGGUACAGCAGGAAGAACAGGGGCUUUCACCCGGGCUGGCCUGGGUUCAAAUCCCGGCCCAGCCC